AGCUGGAAGAAUGGAGGAGUGAGACAGCUGAAGUGCUGCAGCUCUGUGGAUCUGACUGUACUAGGUUAAUUUUUGUCCCCUUUAGAAUAUUUCCUUACGCAUAUACAGACUAUCACCUGCCACACAUCUCCACAGUCCCUCUGGCUGUUAGCGGAAUCAAUUCAUUUUAAUGAAUUUCAUAACUUAUUGCUACAUACAGGUUUCAGUCCAAUUACUUCAAGAAGUCCUGAACCUUUUCUCAUCCUUUAAGAAAGAAUUGCAGACUGCUCCUCCAGCCGCGUGUUUGCUGCACUCUGAGCAGCACCGGGCUCGUGUCGGUCCGGGCCUCAGCAGCGCCUCGUGCGGCCCGUGGCCAUUUUAACUGCGAGCCGACGGGCACGAGGAGCUGCGGGCUGAAACCGCAAGUCCCUUCAGGAGCAAUAAGUGUGCCUAGAUGUAAGGAAAGGGCUGCGGGACAACACCUGAUGUGUGGCCUGCUGCUGUUCCUUGGGAUUUCUGGAGCAAGGACGACGGAUUGAUGUUGCUCGGGGGCGUUUUGCAGCCUGCGAGGAAGAGCUGAGGUGCCUGAUGUUGCAUAGGGAUUCCUGGAGCAUUCCUAUGCGUAUGGUACUGAGUGCACAUUGUUCCUGCUCCUUUUGGCUAACCAGUAUUAAAAGUCCAGUUGCCAAAACAGUCUGAUGUAUGAAUGAAGCCUGCUUCUGCCAUGUGAACUGUCUGGAAGCAUCACCUAUCAUGGAGCAGGAGGCGUCCUGCUGGGUCUACAGUGAGCUCCAGCUGUUCAUCUUUCUCAGGUGGCUGCAAUGUUGCUCCAAAAUGAUGAGCAUUGUGAAGAGACUCAGCAAGAAGAGCUGCUGCCUGGAUGAAGAUGGUAUGGGGCUGUGGGCUUGCAACUGACUGCCACAGUGUUCAUCCUAGGGGCUUGUGUAUCUCUGUAGCUUCUGAGUUGGGCGGGGUGCUCUAAUGGGACCCUUUUCUGCCAUGACAGUAAGUAACUGGUUCUUAGUAACUCUUACAGCUCUGUGAUUUAGUCACAUGUUAAUUUUAUCAGACAAUUUUAUGAGUUAGUUGCUGAUGAACAGAUCUGCAUGUAGAGCUCUGCUCGCGUGGCCACCCUUCUGCCAGUCUGAAUUCCUUAGUGUAUACUUGCUUGGUUAUUGAAGUUUAUGCUCUCUAACUGACUUCAGGUACCUCUCAGAACUUUCACAGCAUUGGGGUCUAUUUCCUUUUUGUGAAGAAGUCUGUGGAUUCAGGAUUUUUCCAUUUGUGAGCAACAUGAAGAUGUCACUAUUGAAAGCAUGUUUUGUUGCAAGCUGUUCAGGACAAUGAAGAUGUCUAUACAAGGGCAAAGCAGGCAUCUGGAGAUGUCUCUCCUGUUGAUUCAGGCCAGCUGUGAAGACUUGCUAUUCCCUAACACACAUCCGAGUCAGAAGUGUUAGUCUCUAUUAUUCCAAGCACCUUAUACCAAUACUUUCUACCAAGAGUAGCACAGAAGAGUGAUUCGUAGAGGGAAUCGGGCAGUGGCAAUGAAAAGGUGCCUUUUCCCUUGUGUGAACAUCUGGGCUUUCUGGACAGAGAAGAUAGUCAGUAGCCUAAUGAGAAUAAUUGUCAACUGAUGCUAAACUUGGAAGUGCCUUUAAUGGAUUUGGCCAAUAAGCUGCAAUUAUUUACGAAUGUGUGUUGUGUUCAUUUCUAAG
Long non-coding RNA from Coturnix japonica (Japanese quail), 1694 nucleotides. Lineage: Eukaryota; Metazoa; Chordata; Aves; Galliformes; Phasianidae. The record is from Ensembl.